CCAGCUGGGCAGAGAGAUCUUCCUCCUGUCGUCACUGGGCACAAAGUGGUUAUGGAUAUUUUGCUUGGAAAUCCAGAAGAGCAGUGCAGAAGUGCAUGAUGCUGCACUUAGGUUAGCACCCUCACACAUGCUGCUGAUGCAAACACUGACAGCUGCAAAUGGGACAAGCUGUGAUAACUGACUACAGCACCCAGGCAAGAGCAUCUUCAGAGUCUGCAGUACUCAUCAGCAAAUGGCUUGGCCUGGUGAGCUGAAGGCUGCUGAAUCUUCUCUUCCCUGACGUGUGGUGCUUGAACUCACUCAGACAUUUUGCAGCCUGAAGGGCUGAUGUCACAGCUGCUGCUCAGAAACACCUAGGUCCAGGCCUCUGCUCCACAGUGGCUGUUCAUGUCCCAUCACUGUGUGGCUCAGCCACUGAGCCUAGGAAGGCAGUUUGUGCUCUACAAAAAUGGCUCCUAAUAGUGACACCUUGUUCACACAGGGGUAUUUGAUUUCAUCAGGUUUUCAGCUCCAGAUAACCUUAACUGAAUGGGAACACAGGGGAGUGUACAGCAAAGGCUUCCUGUGGUCCUUGCUCAGGGAGUUACUCUGUGAGAGCUGUGACAGCCUUGUUAGCCGGCAGCAUAUGGUGACUUUGUCUCUCCUUCCCAGGGCAGAGAGAAGACAACAUAUCUGCCUGGUUUUCUUCCCCUCUGUGCCUGAGGCUGUGUGUGCAUGGAACAGGGAGAGGCUUAUUUGGCUGGGUAGGGUAUUACAAGGCAUCAGCAUUACCAAUGGCCUCUCUUGAUUGCCAAAUCAGCAUACAGCUAAAGUCCUGAUUCUGGUACUGGUGUGCCAGGAUUGCUGGCUGCAGGCAGGUCACUCCUUUGUGCUUUCACUCCUGUUUCUGUGCAUUCUGCUGGGACUGCCAAGGCUCUGUCCCACCACAUAAUCAGCAGCCCUGCUGCAGUGAGCUGAACCCAGCCUCUUGCUCAAGGCUCUGCUCCCUGCAUCACAAGCAUAGGAGUGGAGGAUGGAGGGCCCAGGACCUGCCAAGGAAUAUGUUUAGGGGUUAAACAACAACCUCUGUUCAGCUGGUAUAGACCUAGCUGUGUGCAUGGUAUCAACACAGGAGGUGAAUGAAAAGGAGGAACCUCAUGCAAGGAGAAAAACCUGUUAUAAAAUUAGAAAUGUCUAUUAGAACACUUUUCCAAAGCUCUCAAUGCUGGCACUAUGCUUGCUCAUCAGACUCUAAAGAGAGCUUGCCACCUAAGCCAGUGCUGCUAGAAGAAGGUCAAUAGCAUCCAAGAAAUUCAUACUUCCAAAGUUUGGAUUUAAAUAAUUAUCUUCCCUACAGUGCAGAUUUUCUUCCUUGCUUGCCACCUGUCAUAUCUUGUCUGUAUGUCAUGCACUUAUGAAAUAAAGACAUUAAUAAGUAA
Pogoniulus pusillus (Red-fronted tinkerbird) is the source of this 1418-nucleotide long non-coding RNA. RefSeq lists it as uncharacterized. Lineage: Eukaryota; Metazoa; Chordata; Aves; Piciformes; Lybiidae. The transcript has 3 exons. The record is from RefSeq and is a predicted model, not a curated record.